GUGAGUCUCCAUAUCCUCCUCUGUAGGUUUUUCUGUGUCCUACCAAACACACAUCAGUUUUCUCACAUGACAAUCUAUGUGUGGAGUUCACUUCACUGACGGAAGAAAGUGGAAAAUAUGUCUUUGUCUUAUAUUCUUCUCAUUUAUGUUGCCGGUGUUGCGGUAAAAGAAAGUUCUGCAGAUAUGGUUUCUACUCCCACUAUUGUAUUUUCCCCUGGGUACAUCAAUGUAGCUACACCUGUUACAGUACGCUGUGAGUCACCAGAAGGCACAAAGUGCAAGUUCUACAGAGAUCACGACCCCAACCCUAUAAGAGAACUGGAUUACAAGCAGGGUGCUUGCCAGUUCAAGUUGUUAUGGAAUGAGUUCAAAAAGUGGAACAAGACUGAAGUUGAUCUCAGCUGUGUAAUUCUACAGAACAGAGAAGAUAAAACGAUUAAAACCUCAAAACCUAGUGAUGCUCGAAGACUUAAUGUGGGUGAUCCAAUAAGAAAGCCCAGAGUUCAUGUGGAGAAGAUUGGGAAUUACCUCAAUCUUCGAUGUGAGGCCAAGGCUGGCACCUCAUGCUACUUUUAUCUGAACAAUGGUGACUCACACUUUAAUAAACAACCCUACAAAGACAAUGUCUGUGUGGGGAGAGUGGCAGAAGAGGAACUGCAGAGGAAGAGGAGCAGUGCUGGAGAGAUCUUCAUCACCUGUGCUGUGGAGCUGGUGGUAGAGGGUGAAGAUACUGUGACAUCACAGCAUAGUGAACCCCUCGGUAUCACCAUAGAUGGAGCUACUAGUUCCCCAUCAGCGUUCAGUUUAAUCAAACCUGUUCAGGAGGAGACAAGCACCAAUGUCACAGCCCAAGGAAGAGUUUAUUCAGGUCCAGUGUUCCUCGUCAUCAUCAGUCUGGGUGCUGGUUCCCUUUUCCUGGUUCUGCUAGCUGGGUCUGUGCUGUGUGUUCUCCAACGCAAGUGUGGGUUUCAAUGCAGGCCUGUAAAUACUGGAAGCCCACCUGAGCAGCAAGACCAAACCCCACCUUGUGUCUAUUCUGUCAUCACAAAGCCGUCUAGGGAUGAGGAAGAGGACAGUAGUCUGCAAUACGCUACUGUGACAUCUACAAGUGACCGAGCUAGUCUUCAAUAUGCAACAGUGACAUCUACCGGUAACCAAGUUGGACCUGGGCGCACCAAGAUCAAGUUUGAAAUAGCUGGAGAGUACGCCCUCUUAGCAGAAUCAUAGAAGAAGAAACAUUUACUGGAUAACAUGUUUUGCCAUAGUUUACAGUUACAAUCCUAGCUUUUUUUCUUCAUAUUGGAUCAUAAAUUACUCAUAACACAAAAACAAAUCCUGCCACAACAACAAAUACUAAAGAUAUCUACUCAUUUCUGAAAACAAGCAGCUUCAACUAUUUGCAUUUUAGGUUAAUUGAAAUAAAUGAAAAAUAAACUUUGUCUGAAGUAUAAAAUAACUGUUUUCCUAAAUUGAGUUAGCCAAUCUAGUCAGCAGUCACCAAUCACUAGUCACCAAUCUAUUUCACUCCUUGACAAGAGUCAAUAGAGACUCAAAGCCACAGGAGGGUAGAACACAGUUCAAACUUUGCUUGUUACAUCUCUACAUCUCUCUCUCCUUUUCUGAUCUCUCGCUCUCUACAUCUCUCUCUUUAACCUUGUCUGGUGUAUAUUAGUUUUCAGUGGUGCAAGAAGUACUCAACUGUCAUAAUUAAGUAAAAGUAAAGAUACCUUAAUAGAAAAUGACUCAAAUAAAAAUAAAGUAUUUGGUUUAAAAUAUACUUAAGUAUCAAAAGUGAAUAUAUAACUCAUUUCAAAUUCCUUAUAUUAAGCAAACCAGAAUGUUCCAUUUUCUUUUUUUUCUUCUUUUUUACGGAAGGCCUAGGGACCACUUCCACACUCAGCUAUCAUUUACAAACAAAUCAUGUCAGUGUAGUGAGUCCGCCAUAUCAGAGGCAGUACGGAUGACCAGGGAAGUUCGGUUGAUAAGUGCAUGAAUUUGACUAUUUUCCUGCCCUGCUAAGCAUUCAAAAUGUAAUGAGUACUUUUGGGUGUCAAUGAAAAUGUAUGGAGUAAAAAUUACAGUGUUUUCUAAAGUAAUGUAGUUAUCUAAAAGUAAAAUAAGUCAAAAAUAUGAAUUGUAAAGUAUAGAUACCCCAAAAAACUACUUAAGUAAUACUUUAAAGUAUUUUUACUUAAGUACUUUACAUCACUGUUGGUUGAAAAAAUAUGUUUUGUUAUUAUCUCGUUUCACUUACAGUAUGUGCCUUUACUUCCACCUGAUGAUACACUACCUCCACAUUUCCUCUCCCUCCUUCCUGAUUUACAGAUCUGCUACUCUAUGGACCCAACCUCUUCCUGUAGUCUGUCAACAUCUGUUCCUCUCAGAACAAUUUCAUUCUCAUACUGGGCUAUAAAUAGAUGUGCAAAGGUUUUAAGAUAGGAUUCAUUUAAACAAGUAUACUUGAUGCAUGUGUAAAUGAACACCUUUCUUGAUUUAUAAGUAAAUUAUUGAUGUGCAAAGCUUCAACUAGAGACUAAUGAAACCCACAUGAUAAUUGAAACAAUUAAAUCAUAUUUCAAAUGGUUUUUUUCCCAGUUACAAGUGGUUCCUGCCAGUAAGGCCUGGUUAGGCCCAACCAAAUCACAAAAACCCAGAACAAAAUCUUGCAUGAACAUAACUCUCAUAACCCCUGUGCUCCCGACAGACGAAAACAUGUUUGUUACGGAUCUUAGGACAGAAUAGGCCCACCCAGAUCAGUCUUAUCUACACCUGCAAUUGGAGCACAUUACAAACCUAUGACAGCUACAGGUAUGAAAGUGGAUAUGACAAUUAUGCACCAUCACAGAAGGGUCAUAGGUGGGAGCUAUUGUUUCACCAUAAAAGGAGAGAGGGGAGACACAAAAUACAGUGUGUCACUCUCACACUCACUACUGUGGCAUUGCCUGAGUCAUUAUCUACAGCCAACAGCUCCUGUGUAUAUUUCAAAAAACAUUUUUGAGAGCAUGUGAAAAUAGUCGACCCCGAAAGCAAAUCUCAUUUCCGUAUAUCCUGUUUCACUUCUCUCUCUGCAUUAUGCAUAAUAACAGGUGGCAGGUUUGGGACCUUCAAAUAACUCCUAACCAUGAUCCAAUGAAUGUGCUGCUGGUGCCUUAUGUGUGAGUUAUGUAUUAUUAAUAAUAUAAUUAUUGUACUGUAUAAUAAAAUGUUAAAUAAUUUACUUUCAUAACAAUAUCCCUAAUUGUACUUUUGAUUGGAAUAACAAUGAACUACAUUUCUUGUAGUCUCUCUUGACCUACAAUUAACAGAUGCAGGUAUGUUUCUCUUGCUAUUUUUGUCAUUCAACAUUAGGGAUGCACUUUUGUGAUUUGCAUGGUUAUCAAAGGCUGGGAAAUAAAUGUUGAGCUCUUAAGAAGUGAAUAAUCUUGCAUUUUGAAUUCGUUUUAGAAUGGACACAAAUCUUAGUUUUUUUCACUUUGAUGUUAUCAUUCCUAUCUUUCCUCAACUAUCUCUCUCUUUCCUCAACUAUCUCUCUCUUUCCUCAACUAUCUCUCUCUUUCCUCAACUAUCUCUCUCUUUCCUCAACUAUCUCUCCCUUUCCUCGUCCUUCAAGGGGACAAGGAGAAUCAGACAAACACUUGGAUUACCCAGGAGAAGAAGCACCAGAUCUCAGUAAGCCUGAAGUUUGUGACCCUGACUGAAGUGGUUGAGCUGAGCUGCGAGUCCUCUGCCCUUGUAGAGGGUCAGCAGUGUUUGUUCUAUGUGGAUUCUAAACUCAAGGAGCUUGGUCGCUCAAAUGCCAGCCACAACCAAUGCUCCCUCCCAGUAAAGGGGUCAGAGCUGCUUGGGUGGAAGCCCAGAGGGCUGUGGUCAAAGGUCACCGUCCAGUGUCAUUACGAAGAGGACUCACCUCCCAGCAAAAAUGUCACAGUGGUGGUGUGCAUAGAUUCCUGAUUUAGGUCAUUCAUCCAUUUGGUCAAAAAUACAUUUUACUCUGUUACAGACAUGCUGACUAAGUACAUCAUUGGAUGUAUGGCCCUGAUAGGAUUCAUGAAUCUACUUGCAGUAUUCAUAUUUUGCAUCACCUGUCUCCUCUCACUGAAAGCAAAGAGUAUGUGAACCUGUCGUGGACGAAUCAGAUUUAGUUGGGUAACAUAGAUAAUUAAGAUGUUUUAUUAGUAUAAUAUGCUUAUUUGAGGUACUUGUCAUUAGAAAGUGUCCAUUGGACUCUGGUGUCUUUUCAGUUGCACGUCUACCUUAGCUGGGACUCAGACACUUGGGGCCCAGAGAGGGGAGAGGUCAGAUUUGUCUUCAUAUGGGAAUGUGUCUUUACUUAUUCUUAAACCAUGUGAAGGGAUGGCGUGAUUAAUGGGGAACCAACAAUGUCUGUGAGCAAGUCACUCCCACCUUUUCUUUAUUGUGGGGAUGAUUAUGGCAGUAAAUGAACCCUUGUAUGUCCUCUCUUAGAUCUCGCACUUAUCCUGUGAUAAUAUAUGGCCUAGAGGCUCACUCCCCAGUGAGCCUGUCCAGGAGUAGGGUCAAGAGGGGGUUUGCUUGAGAUGGGAGUAUCUAGAGUUGACAAUUGAUAUAUGCCAUUGGAUGAAAUUGUGUUUUUGUUCUAUGAAGUACCAGGGAGGGACGGUUCUAGGGAGACCAGAUACUGGUCUAUAUAAUGAACCCUGUUGACAUAGCAGUUACUGUCUGAUGUGUUUUAUUGAUAUCUGUCAUACAAAACUUAACCUUUGUGAACUGUUACUAAGUAUCUGUGGUUUGUCAAUGUACGUUGAAGGGGGUGUAUCGUUGCUAUAAAAGAUCCCUGUAGCCAUUCUGUAAUCACCUUCCUGGUUCAUUCGAGAGAAUGCAUUAUUGAAGGUCAAGAACUUUUGCAAAAGUAUCUUAAGUAUUAAAGAUGUAGUUUAACUCGGACUGGUGUGUUUGUAACUCCUCAUUUGGUAAUGCGGAAAUUAGCCACCACAAACCUGCUAUCUAACAGCCUUUUAAACGUAUUAGCAAAACCGAUCAGACAGAAUCGCUCAUUUAUUCCAUUGUUUUACUGUCAUAGGGAACGGACGCCUCGUCAUAACAAGGUGAAUAGUGUUGGUUGUGUGUUGAACAGCAUGAUUAUGACAGCAUACAGAACAUACAGUUUAAAUGUGAAUGCCUGUCUCACCUAACCAUGUCUUUCAGAUCGCCCAGUGACCAGACAUUGCCAGGAGACCCUACCCUAACAAGUAUGUAUGAUGUCACAGUGAAGUGUACGUGUGUAGGCCUAUUAUUAUAGAGAUAUUUACCACAGUCCC
Long non-coding RNA from Salmo trutta (river trout), 5297 nucleotides. Ensembl lists it as uncharacterized. Lineage: Eukaryota; Metazoa; Chordata; Actinopteri; Salmoniformes; Salmonidae. The record is from Ensembl.